GACGAACGCUGGCGGCGUGCUUAACACAUGCAAGUCGAGCGGAGCGGCGAACGGGUGAGUAACGCGUGAGUAACUGCCCCCCUCUCUGGGAUAACAGUUGGAAACGGCUGCUAAUACCGGAUCGUUGGGGAUGGAUCGCGUCCUAUCAGCUUGUUGGUGGGGUAGUGGCCUACCAAGGCGACGACGGGUAGCCGGCCUGAGAGGGCGACCGGACACAUUGGGCUGGGAUACGGACCGAACGCUUACGGGAGGAAGCAGGGGGGAAUAUUGCACAAUGGGGGAAACCUUGAUGCAGCAACGCGCGUGCGGGAGGACGGCCUGCGGGUUGUAAACCGCUUUCGGCCAUGACGCGGUAGUGGCAGAAGAAGCACCGGCUAACUACGUGACAGCAGCCGCGGUAAUAC
Molecule: ribosomal RNA, 404 nt
Filed under: uncultured bacterium
Lineage: Bacteria
Description: partial 16S ribosomal RNA
Rfam family: Bacterial small subunit ribosomal RNA
Source: RNAcentral